CGCUGGCGGCGUGUUCAACACAUGCAAGAAAAACGAACCUUCGGGUUAGUGGCGGACGGGUGAGUAACGCGUUUCACUCUGCCCUCAGGAGGGGGAUAACGGUUGGAAACGACCGCUAAUACCCCAUAUGCCGAGAGGUGAAAAGAAAUUCGCCUGAGGAUGAGCUCGCGUCUGAUUAGCUAGUUGGUGUGGUAAUGGCGCACCAAGGCUUCGAUCAGUAGCUGGUCUGAGAGGAUGAUCAGCCACACUGGGACUGAGACACGGCCCAGACUCCUACGGGAGGCAGCAGUGGG
RNAcentral lists this ribosomal RNA (293 nucleotides) under uncultured bacterium. RNAcentral describes it as "partial 16S ribosomal RNA". It matches the Rfam family "Bacterial small subunit ribosomal RNA", at positions 34 to 358 of the family's 1533-position model. The record is from RNAcentral.